GCCAGGGAGCAUACUUCUUUGAGCAUCGUUUCUACCAACUCAAACUGAGCCCUUUUGGGUGAAAUGUUUUGGAUAAUGAGAUUCUCAUUCGAAAGACUGAGUAUCUUUAAGAAGCGUGAGUUCUCUAACAACUCCUGGUAUCAAAAAAAUCGUUUUUCUUUUUCUUCGCGAGGAGAGAUCGAGAAGGGGUUUUUGCCUUUUAAUUAGGUUUCGGAUACUGGUGAUGUGGAUAAUCUUUUUGUCUAAUACAUCGCCUCAUGUGUCUGCGACUGGAUUGAAAUGGUCAAGAUCAUAUAGGUAAACCUGAGACUCAAUAGAAAAUUAAUUCAUUAAAAAUGUUUUUUUGAAUUAGAUCUCAAAUGAAGCAAGAUAACCCGCUGAACUUAAGCAUAUUAUUAAGCGGAGGAAAAGAAACUAACAAGGAUGCCCUCAGUAACGGCGAGUGAAGCGGGCAAAGCUCAACCUGAAAAUCGGAUUCCCAAGCGGGAUUUCGAAUUGUGGGCUACAGACACAUGAUCAGCGUGUUACCCCGGUAUAAGUGAGUCUUAUUGGAAUACUACAUCAGAGAGGGUGAAAAUCCCGUCUGUGACCUGGGAGCUAGCCGCGUACGAUCUGUGUU
Molecule: ribosomal RNA, 619 nt
Filed under: Cercomonas dactyloptera
Lineage: Eukaryota; Cercozoa; Cercomonadida; Cercomonadidae
Description: eukaryotic LSU rRNA
Rfam family: Eukaryotic large subunit ribosomal RNA (bases 351-619)
Source: RNAcentral